ACGUUUCAGCCAAACUACAUGGCUUUCAUCAGGAUCUUAACAGCUCAAAAAGCUGUUAAGAUCCUGAUGAAAGCCAUGUAGUUUGGCUGAAACG
Molecule: microRNA precursor, 94 nt
Filed under: Pelobates cultripes (western spadefoot toad)
Lineage: Eukaryota; Metazoa; Chordata; Amphibia; Anura; Pelobatidae
Source: RNAcentral